UGCGUCUUAAGCAUGCAAGUCAAACGGGAUGUAGCAAUACAUUCAGUGGCGAACGGGUGAGUAACGCGUGGAUGAUCUACCUAUGAGAUGGGGAUAACUAUUAGAAAUAGUAGCUAAUACCGAAUAAGGUCAAUUAAUUUGUUAAUUGAUGAAAGGAAGCCUUUAAAGCUUCGCUUGUAGAUGAGUCUGCGUCUUAUUAGCUAGUUGGUAGGGUAAAUGCCUACCAAGGCAAUGAUAAGUAACCGGCCUGAGAGGGUGAACGGUCACACUGGAACUGAGAUACGGUCCAGACUCCUACGGGAGGCAGCAGCUAAGAAUCUUCCGCAAUGGGCGAAAGCCUGACGGAGCGACACUGCGUGAAUGAAGAAGGUCGAAAGAUUGUAAAAUUCUUUUAUAAAUGAGGAAUAAGCUUUGUAGGAAAUGACAAAG
Molecule: ribosomal RNA, 429 nt
Filed under: Borreliella burgdorferi (Lyme disease spirochete)
Lineage: Bacteria; Pseudomonadati; Spirochaetota; Spirochaetia; Spirochaetales; Borreliaceae
Description: bacterial SSU rRNA
Rfam family: Bacterial small subunit ribosomal RNA
Source: RNAcentral